Molecule: ribosomal RNA, 200 nt
Filed under: uncultured bacterium
Lineage: Bacteria
Description: partial 16S ribosomal RNA
Rfam family: Bacterial small subunit ribosomal RNA
Source: RNAcentral
GAUGAACGCUGGCGGCGUGCUUAACACAUGCAAGUCGCACGGGAGCAGCAAUGCUCUAGUGGCGAACGGGUGCGUAACACGUGAGAAAUCUGUCCAUCGGCGGGGGAUAGCCGGCCCAACGGCCGGGUAAUACCGCGUACGUCGGCGUGAACGCAUGUUCUUGCCGGGAAAGCAGCAAUGCACCGAUGGAGGAUCUCGCG